This 430-nucleotide ribosomal RNA is filed under the name Bacteroidota bacterium. Its description in RNAcentral is "Bacteroidetes bacterium partial 16S ribosomal RNA". It matches the Rfam family "Bacterial small subunit ribosomal RNA", at positions 355 to 776 of the family's 1533-position model. The record is from RNAcentral. Lineage: Bacteria; Pseudomonadati; Bacteroidota.
UAGGGAAUCUUCGGCAAUGGGGGGAACCCUGACCGAGCAACGCCGCGUGAGUGAAGAAGGUUUUCGGAUCGUAAAGCUCUGUUGUUAAGGAAGAACGAGUGUGAGAAUGGAAAGUUCAUGCUGUGACGGUACUUAACCAGAAAGGGACGGCUAACUACGUGCCAGCAGCCGCGGUAAUACGUAGGUGGCAAGCGUUGUCCGGAUUUAUUGGGCGUAAAGCGAGCGCAGGCGGUCAAUUAAGUCUGAUGUGAAAGCCCCCGGCUCAACCGGGGAGGGUCAUUGGAAACUGGUUGACUUGAGUGCAGAAGAGGAGAGUGGAAUUCCAUGUGUAACGGUGAAAUGCGUAGAUAUAUGGAGGAACACCAGUGGCGAAGGCGACUCUCUGGUCUGUAACUGACGCUGAUGUGCGAAAGCGUGGGGAUCAAACAGG